Molecule: ribosomal RNA, 379 nt
Filed under: uncultured bacterium
Lineage: Bacteria
Description: bacterial SSU rRNA
Rfam family: Bacterial small subunit ribosomal RNA
Source: RNAcentral
UACGUAGGGCGCGAGCGUUGUCCGGAAUUAUUGGGCGUAAAGGGCUCGUAGGCGGCUGGUCGCGUCUGUCGUGAAAUCCUCUGGCUUAACUGGGGGCUUGCGGUGGGUACGGGCCGGCUUGAGUGCGGUAGGGGAGACUGGAAUUCCUGGUGUAGCGGUGGAAUGCGCAGAUAUCAGGAGGAACACCGGUGGCGAAGGCGGGUCUCUGGGCCGUUACUGACGCUGAGGAGCGAAAGCGUGGGGAGCGAACAGGAUUAGAUACCCUGGUAGUCCACGCCGUAAACGUUGGGCACUAGGUGUGGGGGGCCUUUCCGGGUUCUUCCGCGCCGUAGCUAACGCAUUAAGUGCCCCGCCUGGGGAGUACGGCCGCAAGGCUAAA